This 3159-nucleotide long non-coding RNA is filed under the name Sorghum bicolor (sorghum). RNAcentral describes it as "long non-coding RNA (SBIC_LNC016573)". The record is from RNAcentral. Lineage: Eukaryota; Viridiplantae; Streptophyta; Magnoliopsida; Poales; Poaceae.
GCUAUUAUCUAGAUCUACUCUAGUUUAGAGAAGAGAGGAGAGCUCUCAUCUCUAAACCCUAGCUUUUGCUCUGUCUAUGAAUAAUGAAUAAUGAUCAAGGGGUGCCUCCUCCAGGGGCCAGGGGGUCUGGUUAUAUAGUCUUUUCAGAUGAAUCUGGGCCGUCGGAUCAAACCGACAUUGAUUGAACGGUUAUUCUUGAUCCUUUAGGUCGGUGGAGCAUAAUCCGCGAGGUUGAACGUGAUUGGUUACAGUAGCUGGGCGGGCACCCAAGGAACUUGGGCGGGCGCCCUGCCCCCGGGCCUGAUCGGCCUCCCGUUCGUUCCCGUGGCUUCUGGAGUCUUCUAGAUGGUAGAAAAUUGCGCGGCACGUUAAUAUCUCUAUGUAAACCCGACGUGUGGGCCUUUCUUUCAUAUUUCCUGAUAACCCCCUGCAGAAAUAGACAAACACCAAAACUCGUGGAAUUCUGUCAGAUAAAACCCUAAGUCUAGAUGUUGAUUUCAUUUGGAUCCUUUUUUUUGUUUAUUUGAUAAUUAAAUUUGAUACUUAAGGACCGUCAACAAACUCCCCCAAGCUUACCUCUUGCUUGUCCCUGAGCAAGGAUAGACUCAGCAAUGGAUUAGAAGUUGUUGCAAUAUCUUAAAAAUUUGACGGUACACAUGCUUUUAAAUAAGAUCUCAUCUCUGAGUUAGAGUAAACUGUCAAGAACUAAAACUUACUUACUUUACCUUUCACCAUGGGACUUGUAACCGUCACUUCUGUCUUGAGUAGUUAAAAGAUAGAACAGUCUAGCCAAGUGCCAUGUCUCUUAUUCUUGAUCAGCUAUAGCUCUGGAGUUUUUGCAGAUUUUCAAAUAAAACUCAGAGAUUUCUUGUAUGACUCUCUAAAUCUCUCUUUUGUGGUAUUUCUGGAUCCUUACCAAGGCAGUGAUGGUAUAUGCCUUCUCUCAAGAUAUGUGGUAUUUGUGGUAUAAGGCAUAGUGACAUUGCCUUCUCUCUCACCCUACUCUAAUAAGGCUUUAAUAUCUAGAGCUCAUAGGUGGGAGACAGCUAAUACAUACUUACAAGACAUUUAUUGCAUAGUCAAACCAUGGAUCCAGAGAAACAAGUCAAUAAGUCAAAUCAAGAUAUGCAUGUGUGGCGAAUGAAUGGUGUAUGGUAAUGAUGGUGAUAACAAUGGUGGAAGUCUAAUUCUACUUUUGCUCUUUUGAGGGGAUACAUACCUUCUUUGCUUUUUGAAACUUUAUGAGGAGAAUGAGAUGCUCUAUCUUUCAUUUUUCUUUCCUCUCAGGUGGGUAUCCUGUACCCCUAAUUCUACUGUCGGACACUUGUCCAUUUUUACCUCUCGUCUCACUCUUUUUUCUUUUCUUUCGAGGUUCCGGGCACUUGCCCCUUUUUAUUUCCUCGUUUAUUUUUUUUUCUUUUCUUCUCUUUUCUUUUUUUCAGAGCACUCAUCUCUUGAGAUAAUAUAGCAAGUGGUAGUAGCAAGAUAACUUGAGCAUUUAUUUCACAAGGGAAAACAGAAAUAUUUUUGGCUAUUCUCUCCCGGAUUAGGAGUAGAAUAUUUUUAGGUGGUUCUGGAGAUGGACAUAGAUGGAUAUAUGUGGAUGGUACUUCCGGAGUAGAAGUAGCAUAUAUGAGUGAACGUGCAAGUGAAUCUUGAUUUAACCACAUGACAAGCUCCUAAGGGUCUACACAGCUUGACCACACUCAAUGCUCAUAAGCAGUAAAUCAUAAAUGUGUGGCUCAAAGUCUAGCAAGCAUGUAUAUAUGGCUGUGGUAGGAAUUUAAACUCUCAUCAUAUAGGAACUCAUCAUGCAAUAUUUUAAAGAUUUUUCAAAGAUAAAAUUCUCCAGAAUUCUAGCAUCUCUAGGAACAGAUAAACAGCAGCUCAACCUUCCCAUAUCAUAUCCGUUAACAACUUAGAUUUCAGAUCAAGUUUUCAUCCCACAAGUUUAGAUCUAGAGCAAGCUUUAAAUUAUAACAGUUAUGUCUAAACUUGAGAGAGAACUUCAAAUUUGCAAAUUAGGCAGAGCAACUAUUCAUCAUAUCCAUGCUAAAGUUUUAUUAUUAAGAUUCAGAUUAGCAUAGCCACUUUAUUUAUUAAACACACUAAGCAAAAGAUAUAUAUAUAAACACAAAAUCUUUAUUUGGUUUUUCAUAGUUUAUGUAUUUUAAUAUUCUAAUAUAAUAUAAGUAUAAAGAUAGGUAGAAAUACUUAGCGAGAUAAAUGGGGGUGCUCUUCCCCCAAGCUGAAUUUUGACGUAAUUUCUCUUGAUGUAGCUAGCAGGUGGCAGAGUUGUAUUUGAAAGUCAGCAGCAACAGCGAUUAGAAUGUCCUCCGUCUGCUAGUGUUCUUGAUUCUUAAAUUCUGUGGAGCUCAAAUAGACAACAAAGCUUGUGAAACUAAUUAAGUGUUAGCAUAAAUAUCUAGCCUUCAUCAUGUUGAGCUUCCUCAAUAAAUAUUACUCCCUGUUUUUAUAUUUUUAUUUUAUAAAGCAGAAAAGAAAUAUUUAUUUUAUUUUUAUGCCACCACAGUGAAGGUACUUAUGGGUUUUAUGCCACUCGUAUACUCACAUGGGGCUUAGUAUUUUUUUAACCUUUUUAUUUUCUUUUCAAGAUAGCAUGAUUAACUAAUAAUCUAUUUAAGGAAAGUAAAUAAUUAAAGGGAAAAGGGAAUGCAGAAAAGAUAAAUAUGGAUAACUACUGAUCUUACCUUUCGGCGAGGGUUCAAUGUUUUAAGUCUUCUUAACAAGACUUCUCACCGUGUUCAUUCUUCAGGUGCGUCAUUUGAUUCAGGUGCGGACCUUGACGUCUGCACCUCUUGAUACGGUGUCACCCAUGUUCUUCGUUUGCCCAGCACUUCGAAGUGCGGUGUUGGCAGUAACCUGCUCAGUGUGUUUGUGCUCGUAGAUCCAGGUCCUUCACUUGGUAGAGUCUGAGAGUUAUAAAACUCCAUGUUUUGCUCAAAGUGUACCUGCUCAUAGAGACAAGGCAGAGAUCAAGUGCAUGGGUCCUGUUGGUGGAAAACACCAACAGAACCUAAAGUGUAUUUGUUCUUCUCUAACCCUAAGCAUAGUGAGCAAGACAAAGUUGAUGGAUGAAAAGUUCAUGAGUGUAGCACUUAUAACAUUUGUCAGAUCAGAUCGCUCAACCUUAUGGAA